AGAGACUGCAAGCGUUAUUCGGAUUCACUGGGCGUAAAGGGUGCGCAGGCGGCUAAGUGUGUCAGAUGUGAAAUCCCGAGGCUCAACCUCGGAACUGCGUCUGAAACUACUUGGCUAGAGUAUUGGAGAGGGUAACGGAAUUCACGGUGUAGCAGUGAAAUGCGUAGAUAUCGUGAGGAACACCAGAGGCGAAGGCGGUUACCUGGACAAUUACUGACGCUCAGGCACGAAAGCGUGGGGAGCAAAAGGGAUUAGAUACCCCUGUAGUCCACGCCCUAAACGGUGCACACUAGGUCUUGGCGGAUUCGACCCCACCAGGGCCCAAGCUAACGCGUUAAGUGUGCCGCCUGAGGACUACGGCCGCAAGGCUA
RNAcentral lists this ribosomal RNA (371 nucleotides) under uncultured bacterium. RNAcentral's name for it is "bacterial SSU rRNA". It matches the Rfam family "Bacterial small subunit ribosomal RNA", at positions 527 to 896 of the family's 1533-position model. The record is from RNAcentral.